GCCAUUGAUGACUCUUUGUAGUUCAAUCGAAAUGCAAGUCAACAAGCUUGCAUAAAUGUUGAAAUAAUUUUAUGAACUAGGACGGUCUGAGGC
Molecule: small nucleolar RNA, 93 nt
Organism: Hevea brasiliensis (rubber tree)
Lineage: Eukaryota; Viridiplantae; Streptophyta; Magnoliopsida; Malpighiales; Euphorbiaceae
Product: small nucleolar RNA snoR20a
Exons: 1
Source: RefSeq, a predicted model, not a curated record